CAGCUUAAAUCCACUUGAUGCGGCCAGUUUCCUCCAAUUCAUGGCUGUGUGAAAUCUCUGUCUCUGCAAGUUCAUUCUUUGCCCAGUGAAGUCAUUAGGAAGCCUUAGUUUGACUUUGGGAUGGAACUUUGUUCUCCUUGUGGGGUAGCUGAGCACUGAUGAUUCCUGGGCUGAGCAGUGAGUUGGAAGUGACCAGGAAGCUGCUCUCAACUGUGGAUGUUCUGGAGUUGAGCAGAUACAGAAAGCCGACGCUGUGUCAAUGGACAAACUUCUSCAGUUCA
Molecule: long non-coding RNA, 281 nt
Organism: Dromaius novaehollandiae (emu)
Lineage: Eukaryota; Metazoa; Chordata; Aves; Casuariiformes; Dromaiidae
Source: Ensembl